Long non-coding RNA from Thalassophryne amazonica, 439 nucleotides. RefSeq lists it as uncharacterized. The transcript has 3 exons. The record is from RefSeq and is a predicted model, not a curated record. NCBI's taxonomy places the organism in Eukaryota, Metazoa, Chordata, Actinopteri, Batrachoidiformes, Batrachoididae.
CCAGUCAAUGACAGGCUGAAGUCUGGAACCCAUGGGCACGACCAAAUGCUGAUUUCCACCUCAUUAGAUCCUUUGCCAGGUCUUGACUGCUGCCUCUUUCAGCUACUACUUGUUUGUGGGUCCUUCUGGUUCACUUUUUGUCUUCAGGAAACGGAAAACUGCUUCACUGGUUUGAGGUCAGGUUUCUUUGCCUUGAGAAAAUUUUGGGUUUGGUAGUAUAUUUUAAGUCAUUAUCUGCACUGUUCUGGCAGUAUUUGGCUGGAACUAAGCACAUAAUACAGCCCUACAGCCUAAUACAUGUCAUAAUUCAUUAACAGCACAUGCCCAUGCCAUAACACUGCCUGCGCCAUCUCCACUUUGACAGAUGAUGUAGUACACUUCAGAUUACGAGCCUUUCCUUUCCUUCUCCAUACUCUUCACAUCAUUCUGGUGCAAGUUC